RNAcentral lists this ribosomal RNA (274 nucleotides) under uncultured bacterium. RNAcentral describes it as "partial 16S ribosomal RNA". It matches the Rfam family "Archaeal small subunit ribosomal RNA", at positions 473 to 747 of the family's 1478-position model. The record is from RNAcentral.
AAACCAGCACCUCAAGUGGUCAGGAUGAUUAUUGGGCCUAAAGCAUCCGUAGCCUGCUCUGUAAGUUUUCGGUUAAAUCUGUACGCUCAACGUACAGGCUGCCGGGAAUACUGCAAAGCUAGGGAGUGGGAGAGGUAGACGGUACUCGGGAGGAAGUGGUAAAAUGCUUUGAUCUCUCGAUGACCACCUGUGGCGAAGGCGGUCUACCAGAACACGUCCGACGGUGAGGGAUGAAAGCUGGGGGAGCAAACCGGAUUAGAUACCCGAGUAGUCC